This 690-nucleotide ribosomal RNA is filed under the name uncultured Ceratobasidiaceae. Its description in RNAcentral is "eukaryotic LSU rRNA". The stretch from base 252 to 405 matches the Rfam family "5.8S ribosomal RNA". The record is from RNAcentral. Lineage: Eukaryota; Fungi; Basidiomycota; Agaricomycetes; Cantharellales; Ceratobasidiaceae.
AACUUGGUCAUUUAGAGGAAGUUAAAGUCGUAACAAGGUUUCCGUAGGUGUACCUGCGGAAGGAUCAUUAUUGAAUGAAUGUAGAGUUGGUUGUCGCUGGCCCUUUCGGGGGCAUGUGCACGCCUUCUCUCUCAUCCACACACACCUGUGCACUUGUGAGACGGAGGACUUUAAUUAGUUUUCCGUCUACUUAAUUACACAAACUCAUUUAAUUAAAUUGAAUGUAAUUGAUGUAACGCAUCAUUAGAACUAAGUUUCAACAACGGAUCUCUUGGCUCUCGCAUCGAUGAAGAACGCAGCGAAAUGCGAUAAGUAAUGUGAAUUGCAGAAUUCAGUGAAUCAUCGAAUCCUUGAACGCACCUUGCGCUCCUUGGUAUUCCGAGGAGCAUGCCCGUUUGAGUGUCUUGAAACCAUCGCCCCGCGGAUUCGCGUCCGGACGGGGACGGACUUGGGGGUUGCUGCCGCGAGGCGGCUCCCCUUAAAUGCAUCGGUCGUGGCCCGUUGGCCAGCGUCCCUGGCGUUGUAUCACCCUCGCCUCUGGAUUUUGGCCCAGUGCCCGACUCUGACCUGCCUGUGGAGCGGCGGUCGAAACCUUUCGAGUUCUGACCUCAAAUCGGGUAGGACUACCCGCUGAACUUAAGCAUAUCAAUAAGCGGAGGAAAAGAAACUAACAAGGAUUCCCCUAGUAAC